UACGGAGGGGGCUAGCGUUGUUCGGAAAUACUGGGCGUAAAGCGCACGUAGGCGGAUCGAUCAGUCAGGGGUGAAAUCCCAGGGCUCAACCCUGGAACUGCCUUUGAUACUGUCGAUCUGGAGUAUGGAAGAGGUGAGUGGAAUUCCGAGUGUAGAGGUGAAAUUCGUAGAUAUUCGGAGGAACACCAGUGGCGAAGGCGGCUCACUGGUCCAUUACUGACGCUGAGGUGCGAAAGCGUGGGGAGCAAACAGG
This 253-nucleotide ribosomal RNA is filed under the name uncultured bacterium. RNAcentral describes it as "partial 16S ribosomal RNA". It matches the Rfam family "Bacterial small subunit ribosomal RNA", at positions 524 to 776 of the family's 1533-position model. The record is from RNAcentral.